Molecule: ribosomal RNA, 376 nt
Filed under: uncultured bacterium
Lineage: Bacteria
Description: bacterial SSU rRNA
Rfam family: Bacterial small subunit ribosomal RNA
Source: RNAcentral
AAUAAGUCACGGCUAACUACGUGCCAGCAGCCGCGGUAAUACGUAGGUGGCUAGCGUUGUCCGGAUUUACUGGGCGUAAAGAGCGCGCAGGCGGUCGUUCAAGUCGAGUGUGAAGGCCCCCGGCUCAACUGGGGAGGGUCACUCGAUACUGAUCGACUCGAAGGCAGGAGAGGGAAGUGGAAUUCCCGGUGUAGUGGUGAAAUGCGUAGAUAUCGGGAGGAACACCAGUGGCGAAGGCGACUUUCUGGCCUGUUCUUGACGCUGAGGCGCGAAAGCUAGGGUAGCAAACGGGAUUAGAUACCCCGGUAGUCCUAGCCGUAAACGAUGGACACUAGGUGUUGGUGGUAUCAACCCCGCCAGUGCCGAAGCUAACGCA